This is a long non-coding RNA of Thalassophryne amazonica, 3303 nucleotides long. RefSeq lists it as uncharacterized. The record is from RefSeq and is a predicted model, not a curated record. The transcript has 3 exons. Lineage: Eukaryota; Metazoa; Chordata; Actinopteri; Batrachoidiformes; Batrachoididae.
CACGAGCUAACGGACCGUUUAAAACGAAAUAAAAGAGAAAUGAAACUAAAUAACGGCGAGAUUUACCACAAAGUUCCUGAAAUUAGAGUUUAGGGUUAGAGACUUUAAAAGUUUGAUAUCGUGACUUGUGGUUCGUAACAGUAAAAAACAAUUUAAAAUCUACAAGCUGGACAUAAAUAAGAACGGACAAAUAAACAUUUAAAACAUAAUUUUAAAAUGUGAAAAAUGACAUUGUCAGAGGUGUCUCACACCGACAGGCUAAUAGUCGUUAUGUUGUCACGUUUUCCACUGCGAUGACUUAAAAGAGAUUUGGCGGAAAUGAACUCCUUGGGCAUAUCUCACCUUGAGAGCUCUGCAUUCUUUUCCUGUUUUUAUUUGUCUUGAUUUUAAGGGCUUGAAGAUGAAGUAAAUUUUUUUUUUUUUUUCCCUCAGCUUGGCUUUUUAAUUUUUUUUGUACUAAAGGUCAGAACAGUUUCCCACAAAGUUCUCAAUAAACAGCUUGAAUAAAGGUUCAUGAACUCUGUUAAAAAUAUAUUCUAUCAUUAAAUAAUUUAGAAGAAAGCACAGUUUUACACAUUAAACCAAUUAGUCUGGACAUGAACAUGUCAAAGACAAAAUGACAAAAAUACUGUCAGUGUUUCUGGUAAGUGUGAACAAAAAGCUGCAAAAUGACUGAAACUGCCGUCAUUUCACUCACUUACUUUAUAUGUUUUUUUCUAUUUUGCGUCCCCUAAUCGCUCCUCCAUCUCGACACUUCUGUUACAUUUUUAUUCUGCCCCGGUAUGAAUUAUGGGGGGCAUACAGUCAGUUGCCCAGUUCUGGAUCACUUUUAUGAAAGUCCCGCUAUACAGAGCCAUAAUGCAACUGAAUGUCCUUUAUUAUGUGUUGUUGUAUUGGGUAUUUGGAUGUUAUCUAGCUGAAGAAGUCAGGAUGGUGUAGCCCUUCUACUGAAACUGUGAAACCACAUUAUGUGUGGUGCAAAUUAGGGAUGCACAAUAAUGAUCAGUGGACGAUAAUGGCCUUUGUGAUGUCACGCAGAUAAUUACGCUAAUUAAAAAAUUCGAUGAUAAUAAUAAAGACUCUUCAUCCCAGUUUCACCGUUGAUCUGAGUGCUGUGCGCCUUGUAUUCCUCAACCCCUCCCUUCUGUGACCGUGUUGUCGCGUAUUUGUGUCGUAAAUUUGCUGCGCUGAGUGGUGUGUUUAGAAAACAGAAAAUAGCAUCGUACGUUUGGGCUUUCUUUACCGUGUCUCAGGAAAACAUUUCAUUGGCAGUUUACAAUGCAUGCUCUGCAGAAGUUUCACAGGAGGGAAAAAGGCGACGAGCUUUAACACAACAAAAAGACCCAAGGGCGACAGCAAUUAACAAAAUCAUACAGUUUAUUACACUUGACGACCAGCCUUCUUCAGUCGUUGAAGACAUAGGAUUUUGUCAGCUAAUGCAGUACGUUGAACCCCGCUACGAGAUUCCAAGUCGCCCCUACUUUGCAGACACUUGCCUACCUGCGCUAUACAAUGUGGUGGCCGCACACAGUUACAGUCUGCUGACGAAAGAUUAGUCUGACUGCAACUAUUUCAGCUUCACAACAGACAUUUGGACGUGAGCCAAUUGAGCACAUUAAGUAUGACAGCACAAUGGAUUGACAAAGACUUUAAACUUCAAAAAGCUGUUCUACACGCCCAAGAGCUCCCCGGGUCCCACACGGCACAAGCAACUUGUGAUUCGUUUAAGCACUGGGAUAUUGCAAAAGAUAAGGUACAUGUUGUCCUGUGGGAUAAUGCUAAGAACACGAUAAAAGCAAUGGAUCUGUGUCAACUCUCAAGUCUGGGCUGCAUGGCACACACACAGUGCAACAUGCUAUAAAUGAAGCUGUGCUAAGUCAGAGGAGUGUGGCUGAUUGUAUCUCAAUUGGAUGAAAAAUGUUGGCCACUUUAAACAUUCACAAGUUGCCACUACUGCUCUCUCAACAUUACAAACCCAGCUAGGUGUUAAGCCCACUUGACUACAACAGAAUGUUCCGACAAGGUGGAGUAGCACCUUUUAUAUGCUACAAAGUCUGUUGCAGCAAAAACAAACACUGGCUGUAUAUGGAGUGGUUGGAAAAUUGCCAGCAAUGCUGAAUUCAUACCAGUGGACACUGACUGAAAAUAUGCUGACCAUUCUUGACCCUUGUGAACAACUAACUCGGGACAUUAACAAAGCUUCAGCUUCAAUGGCAGAUGUGAUCCCAGCCAUCCAAGCUUUGAAGAGACUUUUGAACAAGACUUGUUCCUCUGACCAAGGUGUAAAAACUGCAAAGAGCACCUUACUGGAGGCUGCCAGCAGAAGAUUUGGUCACAUUGAUGAAGAGCCCUUGUAUUUAAUUUCCACAUUGUUGGAUCCAAGAUAUAAGAACCACUACUUCACUACUGAAGCUAAAGAAAAUUCAAAGAACAUGCUGUUGGAGGAAUUAAAGAGCCAACAACUGUGAUAUUUCAGAUGUAAGGGUGGUUGAGCCAGAAACAAAGCCUGUUGCAGGUGGAAGCAAUUCUCUCCUUGAGAUGUUUGCUGAAAUAAUAGAGGAAAACACAGAUGGAGUUGGUCAGCCAGAAAAACAAAAACAAAUGGAAGAGCAGUUACAGGCCUACAUCUCUGAAGCCACACUCCCCGUGCUCACUCAAAAAGCCACCAUGACACCGUUGGACUACUGGAAAAAGAACAAGUACCGCUUCCCAAACUUGGCUCAGCUUGCAAGGAAAUACCUGUCUGUACCUUGCACAAGCGUUGACAGUGAACGCUUGUUUUCUGCAGCUGCUAAUGUGAUGGACGAAAAAAGAAACUGGUUAGGAUGUGAGAAGGCAGAGAUGAUUCUGUUUGUGAAGAAAAAUCUUCCACUUAUUUGCCCUGAAUUGAAAAAAGAAUGAACAUAAGGUCAAAACAUUACAACCUGUUGAGUUGUAGCAGAGGAGUAAUGUGGGCACGUAAGUUUUUCUUGCCUUUCAUGAACUGUUUACUUGGAUCUUUUUAUGUUCUGUAACUGAAUGUUGUCAUUCCUGAGGGGAGACACUUAAUGCACUACUUUAUUAUUUAAUUUAUAGUUAAUUAUAGUUUAAUGUAUUUUACGUUUAAGGUUAUAUUUUGAGAAAAAUAUUUUAUUUACUAUUUUUUAUAAAUCAGCAAGACCUUGUUUGGGUUGUGUUACUCCACUUGUUUCAAAGACGUUAUUUUCAUUAGUUACUUCAUCCAAACCAUCAACAUGUCUAUUAGACCCCAUUCCUACCAGGCUGCUCAAGUAAGCCCUACCAUUAUUUAAUGCUUCGAUCUUA